This 651-nucleotide unclassified non-coding RNA is filed under the name uncultured Prochlorococcus sp. Its description in RNAcentral is "partial 16S-23S ribosomal RNA intergenic spacer; may also contain 16S ribosomal RNA and 23S ribosomal RNA". The stretch from base 1 to 93 matches the Rfam family "Bacterial small subunit ribosomal RNA", at positions 1441 to 1533 of the family's 1533-position model. The record is from RNAcentral. Lineage: Bacteria; Bacillati; Cyanobacteriota; Cyanophyceae; Synechococcales; Prochlorococcaceae.
UUGUGGAGGAGGACGCCGAAGGUGGGGCUAAUGACUGGGGUGAAGUCGUAACAAGGUAGCCGUACCGGAAGGUGCGGCUGGAUCACCUCCUAACAGGGAGACAACAAAAUGUAAAUAUUAAUUUUGUCACCUUAGGUCGAUCGGUAUCUCAGAUUCUUAUUUUUUAAGAAUUUCAGUUUCUAAGUUUUUUCUAGGUCGCACCCAUCUCCUUUUCCUGGGCCAUUAGCUCAGGUGGUUAGAGCGCACCCCUGAUAAGGGUGAGGUCCCUGGUUCAAGUCCAGGAUGGCCCAUAUCUCUAUGUUGGGGGUAUAGCUCAGUUGGUAGAGCGCCUACUUUGCAAGCAGGAUGUCAGCGGUUCGAGUCCGCUUACCUCCACUGAAUACCACCUCUUACAUAUUUAAAGAGGGAAAUUGUUUUGAGUCGUGUCCUAAUUUGCUCUGAGCGAAUCUAGCUUCCUAUUUUAUUCAAUAAAUAAGAUGCUGGACUCAUUGAAUUUUUUUUCAUUGUUUUCAGAGAACCUUGACAACUGCAUAGAUUAUUUUUAAAGACAAUAAGCAUCUUUAUGAUGCAGAUUUAUUAUUUGUGCAAAUGCAUUAAUAACAAUUCUAUUAAGCUGAUGCUUCAAUUAUGAAGUUAUUGGUCAAGCUACAA